This 140-nucleotide unclassified non-coding RNA is filed under the name uncultured fungus. Its description in RNAcentral is "sequence contains ITS1, 5.8S rRNA gene". Lineage: Eukaryota; Fungi. The record is from RNAcentral.
ACAAAUUCCAAACACGCGUCUUUGCCUGAGAAGGCCCCCUUUGAGACUCCGGUCAGCAGAGGGGGUCUCUCUGGUCAUAUGACAUACACUUACAUUCACAAUUGACAACCACAGGAUAUCCACAACUUUAAUCGUUCAAA